GGAAGAAGUCCUCAUCUGUCAGAACAGUUAUGAUUGUGGAUAUCACUUAGGUGGCUUUGCCAAUUACCAAUUUCUGUAUACUCAGGGGAAAGAAAUGAGCAGAAACAUCAUGCUGGGAAAAUCUGGAGCUAACAUAUUAACUAUUUCAAAUACAUCUGUGACAUGCUUUUGAUAGUGAUGACUCUUGCGUUAUUCACAAUAGCCAAGACUUGGAAGCAACCUAAGUGCCCAUCAGGGGAUGAACGGAUAAAGAAGAUGUGGUAUAUAUACACAAUGGAAUACUACUCAGCCAUAAGAAACAAUGAA
This is a long non-coding RNA of Diceros bicornis minor, 306 nucleotides long. RefSeq lists it as uncharacterized. The transcript is spliced from 3 exons. Lineage: Eukaryota; Metazoa; Chordata; Mammalia; Perissodactyla; Rhinocerotidae. The record is from RefSeq and is a predicted model, not a curated record.